RNAcentral lists this ribosomal RNA (429 nucleotides) under uncultured Leptospirillum sp. RNAcentral's name for it is "bacterial SSU rRNA". It matches the Rfam family "Bacterial small subunit ribosomal RNA", at positions 355 to 776 of the family's 1533-position model. The record is from RNAcentral. Lineage: Bacteria; Pseudomonadati; Nitrospirota; Nitrospiria; Nitrospirales; Nitrospiraceae.
UGAGGAAUAUUGCGCAAUGGGGGAAACCCUGACGCAGCAACGCCGCGUGUGGGAAGAAGGCCUUCGGGUCGUAAACCACUUUUACUCGGGACGAAAAAGGGAUAUCAAAUAAAUAUCCCCGAUGACGGUACCGUGAGAAUAAGCCACGGCUAACUCUGUGCCAGCAGCCGCGGUAAGACAGAGGUGGCAAGCGUUGUUCGGAAUUACUGGGCGUAAAGAGUCUGUAGGUGGUUUGUCAAGUCUUUGGUGAAAGGCCGUAGCUUAACUAUGGGAAUGCCAAAGAGACUGGCAGGCUGGAGGCUGGGAGAGGGAAGCGGAAUUUCUGGUGUAGCGGUGAAAUGCGUAGAUAUCAGAAGGAAGGCCGGUGGCGAAGGCGGCUUCCUGGAACAGUCCUGACACUGAGAGACGAAAGCGUGGGGAGCAAACAGG